CAGCCGCCGCGGUAAUACGAAGGGUGCAAGCGUUACUCGGAAUUACUGGGCGUAAAGCGUGCGUAGGUGGUGGUUUAAGUCCGUUGUGAAAGCCCUGGGCUCAACCUGGGAAUUGCAGUGGAUACUGGGUCACUAGAGUGUGGUAGAGGAUAGUGGAAUUUCCGGUGUAGCAGUGAAAUGCGUAGAGAUCGGAAGGAACAUCUGUGACGAAGGCGACUAUCUGGGCCAACACUGACACUGAGGCACGAAAGCGUGGGGAGCAAACAGGAUUAGAUACCCGCGUAGUCCCUGUCUCUUAUAC
RNAcentral lists this ribosomal RNA (301 nucleotides) under uncultured bacterium. RNAcentral describes it as "partial 16S ribosomal RNA". It matches the Rfam family "Bacterial small subunit ribosomal RNA", at positions 509 to 807 of the family's 1533-position model. The record is from RNAcentral.